Long non-coding RNA from Thalassophryne amazonica, 131 nucleotides. RefSeq lists it as uncharacterized. The record is from RefSeq and is a predicted model, not a curated record. Lineage: Eukaryota; Metazoa; Chordata; Actinopteri; Batrachoidiformes; Batrachoididae. The transcript is spliced from 3 exons.
GUGUCAUUCUGUAAGACACAGCCCCUUAUCUUCAGUCGGCUUGUAAUACCUCAGUGGACAGCAGCACCGGGGAGGACAGCUAGGCUACGGUAAGCAGAUAACUGUAUAAACUUGGCCUCUGAAAAAAGUUU